UACCAUCCUUGCCCCCGGGAACCAUG
This 26-nucleotide non-coding RNA is filed under the name Mus musculus (house mouse). The record is from RNAcentral. Lineage: Eukaryota; Metazoa; Chordata; Mammalia; Rodentia; Muridae.